GCAUGUUCACGAGUGAGUGGGGACAAUGGAGCUGAGGACUGUGGAUGUUGGAGGCUUCAGGGAGAAGUGUCCCCAACCAAAGAACAUCUUAACCCUGUCUCCAAUCCAAGAUGAUCUUAACAUUGAGGGAUGGAACAACCCUUCACAGGACACAGCUGUGGAAAAUGGUAUCAACCCUCAUGAGGACAUUGAGGUAAGGGAAACUGUUGGACACAGUUUUAGUAAAAACAACUUGUGGCUUAAUCCCAGAAAAAGUCUUGAUCCUCUGGAGUUCCUGACAAGAGUCACACAAUUGUCCCUGGAACCAAAAUCUGCCACAUUCCCAAACACAGCU
Monopterus albus (swamp eel) is the source of this 334-nucleotide long non-coding RNA. RefSeq lists it as uncharacterized. NCBI's taxonomy places the organism in Eukaryota, Metazoa, Chordata, Actinopteri, Synbranchiformes, Synbranchidae. The transcript has 2 exons. The record is from RefSeq and is a predicted model, not a curated record.